CGUAGGGUGCGAGCGUUGUCCGGAUUUAUUGGGCGUAAAGAGCUCGUAGGCGGCUUGUCGCGUCGACUGUGAAAACCCGCAGCUCAACUGCGGGCCUGCAGUCGAUACGGGCAGGCUAGAGUUCGGUAGGGGAGACUGGAAUUCCUGGUGUAGCGGUGAAAUGCGCAGAUAUCAGGAGGAACACCGAUGGCGAAGGCAGGUCUCUGGGCCGAUACUGACGCUGAGGAGCGAAAGCGUGGGAGCGAACAGGAUU
This 253-nucleotide ribosomal RNA is filed under the name uncultured bacterium. Its description in RNAcentral is "partial 16S ribosomal RNA". It matches the Rfam family "Bacterial small subunit ribosomal RNA", at positions 526 to 779 of the family's 1533-position model. The record is from RNAcentral.